This 539-nucleotide ribosomal RNA is filed under the name uncultured bacterium. RNAcentral's name for it is "partial 16S ribosomal RNA". It matches the Rfam family "Bacterial small subunit ribosomal RNA", at positions 355 to 887 of the family's 1533-position model. The record is from RNAcentral.
UGGGGAAUUUUGGACAAUGGGGGAAACCCUGAUCCAGCCAUCCCGCGUGUGCGAUGAAGGCCUUCGGGUUGUAAAGCACUUUUGGCAGGAAAGAAACGUCGCGGGUUAAUACCCUGCGAAACUGACGGUACCUGCAGAAUAAGCACCGGCUAACUACGUGCCAGCAGCCGCGGUAAUACGUAGGGUGCAAGCGUUAAUCGGAAUUACUGGGCGUAAAGCGUGCGCAGGCGGUUCGGAAAGAAAGAUGUGAAAUCCCAGAGCUUAACUUUGGAACUGCAUUUUUAACUACCGGGCUAGAGUGUGUCAGAGGGAGGUGGAAUUCCGCGUGUAGCAGUGAAAUGCGUAGAUAUGCGGAGGAACACCGAUGGCGAAGGCAGCCUCCUGGGAUAACACUGACGCUCAUGCACGAAAGCGUGGGGAGCAAACAGGAUUAGAUACCCUGGUAGUCCACGCCCUAAACGAUGUCAACUAGCUGUUGGGGCCUUCGGGCCUUGGUAGCGCAGCUAACGCGUGAAGUUGACCGCCUGGGGAGUACGGUC